UACAGAGGGAGCGAGCGUUGUUCGGAAUUACUGGGCGUAAAGGGCGCGUAGGCGGUCCGAUAAGUCCCGUGUGAAAUCCCUCGGCUCAACUGAGGAAUGGCACGGGAAACUGACGGGCUUGAGUUCGGGAGAGGGAAGCGGAAUUCCGGGUGUAGCGGUGAAAUGCGUAGAUAUCCGGAGGAACACCGGUGGCGAAGGCGGCUUCCUGGACCGACACUGACGCUGGAGGCGCGAAAGCUAGGGGAGCAAACGGG
This 254-nucleotide ribosomal RNA is filed under the name uncultured bacterium. RNAcentral describes it as "partial 16S ribosomal RNA". It matches the Rfam family "Bacterial small subunit ribosomal RNA", at positions 524 to 776 of the family's 1533-position model. The record is from RNAcentral.